Long non-coding RNA from Marmota flaviventris (yellow-bellied marmot), 499 nucleotides. RefSeq lists it as uncharacterized. The record is from RefSeq and is a predicted model, not a curated record. NCBI's taxonomy places the organism in Eukaryota, Metazoa, Chordata, Mammalia, Rodentia, Sciuridae.
ACUGUGGCACUGACAAAUUGCCAUCUGAAAUCCAGCUGUCUGGGGGGCCUUUCCCACGCGGCUCCCCCCCAUGUUAGCUGUUGUCUGUGCACAGCUGCCCAGGGCUCCUGCAGCCGUGCGGGAGGGGAUGCGUGUUCACUCCUGGCUGCUGAAGAGCUGGGGAUACUUUAUUCCUGUAAUUUCUUUAAGGGGAAGAGGAGAUGUGGAGGAGCAGCUCAGAGGAUUCAACACAGCAGAUACGCCGCGCCAGCAAGUCUGAGGUCCAGUGCGCCACACCAGGGCUGUGGUGACACUAUUGUGGGCAGGGUUUUUGCUAAGAGAUCUUACCUGUUCUUCCUACCCACGGGCACAAAAGUUGGUAAAUGUGCAACGAGGAUGUGUUAAUUUGCUUGACUACUGUAACCAUUUCACUACGUGCAUUUCAAAACCUUACGUUGUGCACCUUAAACAUAUUACAAUAAAAUUUAUUUUAGCUGGGUGAGGUGGUGCAUGCCUGUAA